This 72-nucleotide transfer RNA is filed under the name Camelus bactrianus (Bactrian camel). It matches the Rfam family "tRNA". Rfam says of the family: Transfer RNA (tRNA) molecules are approximately 80 nucleotides in length. Their secondary structure includes four short double-helical elements and three loops (D, anti-codon, and T loops). Lineage: Eukaryota; Metazoa; Chordata; Mammalia; Artiodactyla; Camelidae. The record is from Rfam by way of RNAcentral. RNAcentral also lists the same sequence under 2 other names.
GAGGUUAUAGCUCAGUGGUAGAGUGCAUGCCUAGCAUGCACAAGGUCUUGAGUUCAAUCCCCAGUACCUCCA